Molecule: long non-coding RNA, 1382 nt
Organism: Bombus terrestris (buff-tailed bumblebee)
Lineage: Eukaryota; Metazoa; Arthropoda; Insecta; Hymenoptera; Apidae
Exons: 3
Source: RefSeq, a predicted model, not a curated record
GGGCGCCGGGUAUCUGCGAUGUCUCCAUCGACCAACCAAUUCUCAUUGAUUGUUCGUCGUGUGACAUUGAUCCGUAGACAGUAGUCACAUGUGCACGCAGAGCUCGUGUUAUUUCUGUACGGAACAAUUUCAAUUAUUUCACCGUUGUUCCUCGUUUCAUUAACUUUAACUAUCGUAAUACGUCGAAGCUUGGAUUUGCAUUUACAUUGGCUUCGGUUUGCCUCGUCAAAGCUUAAUUCACGUUCUUUCGCUCGCGACGAGUUUCGCUUUGCGUUGAUCUCAUUCGAUUCGAUCAGAUUUGAUUCGUGACAGUUUGCUUGAAACAGCGACCAACUCGAUCAACCAUGUUCGAACAACGUGUUUGGCAAAAUGUAAACAGAAACUGAAAUAGUUUGCGAAGAUUGCUCGUAGUUGGAUGAACGUUAGAGAAACUUACUAUACCAGAGCAUAAUAAAUCCUAGUCGUCAAGAACGUGCCUAUCAAGAAGAUUCAAAGUCCAAAGAUACCAACGUGUACGUGCAACUAAAAAUACAAAAUCUUGGAGAUCACGCUGUUCCACCAUAAAACCUCGAAACAACGAAACAUUGAACCCAGGUGGAAAGUUUCUACUCGGUCAGAAACUUCGAUGAUCGCUACAACUCGACGGGUAAUAGUCUCUUCGUCUUUGGCCGCUUCCAGUUCUUCACAGCGUCCGACCAAUUUCCCCAUUACCUACGUUCGAUACCGCGGUGAAUUCGUGGAAAUUGGCCGGCGUUCGUUUGCACACGAGCCAAAUCACGAUGCGGUUACAGUUCGAUCGCUUCUUCGACCGCGUAAUCGAUCCAAAAUUGAGGCAGCAACCGUGCAGGGAAAAUACCCACGGGAGCUGUAUGGUUCCCGGUUCAGCGAGGAGCGACGUUACGUCGACGAUUUUCAGACAACGCGUACGAUGAGACGAGGAAAUUGUUGCCUGGCAACCGAUUGACCUAGAUCGGUUGCACUGUCGUAGCUGGAGUCCGGCUAACGUUGCUCAGGGCGUCUGAUUGUCGCAGCAGGGUGCAGGGUUGAAGGCUGAAUGGGAUUGAGGUGCGUUGAAGAGGAAACUAGAGAAACUGGUAGACUGCUCUUGGCAGUCCAUGCUUGUAAUAGUCGUACUACCAUGAAAUUAUGGUGGAUAUUAAACUUUUAAUGUAUAAUCGCUAUUUUGCCUCUUUUUCUUUUUAUUUCUUUGAAGCUUUCGAAUUGAGAAAAUGAAUUACUGUUGGGCUUGCCAGGCCAGGUCGGGAGAUCGGUUUUAAAAUUUAGUUAAAAAUUUUACGUUUAUUGUUGUUUCUUUUGUUCGUCUAACUUUAUGUAAAUUCUUAUAUUAACAAAUAUUGAGAAAUCGAUUAAUCAGGUAAUAU